AUUUAAGGGCUGACUGCCACUGGGGAAAGAUCUCUCUCUGGAGAUGCUCCUCUUGGAGUCUUUUAUGGCAAGCCCAGAACAUGGGUAAACUUUCCAUUCAUUUCCAAUUAUCCCUCUCUAACACAAUAAUACAUCCAGCUUAACUUCUCUGUAUACUUACUGAUUAUACAAUAUCCAAGUUGGAAGUGCAGAACUUCAGUAGAAACAAAUAGAAGCAUUCAAACUACAUGUUUCCAUAUAUCUUUCUAAUAAAAGAAGUUAUCACUUUUUAAAAAUUCCAACAAAGCUGUUCCUGGGAUGAGCUAGAGAACAAUUUUGAGAACAAAUAGACACAAAGAUAAAAUAUGUUCCUCUGGAAAAAAAUAAAAUUAAAACCAAAAAAGAACAGCAAGGAACAACACAUUAAAAAAUAGUUAGAGAAAAAUAAUAUAGAAAUAAUAAUUUAAAAGCGAUUAGAAAUCCUUCACAUACAGUAAAAUAAGAAGAACCUGGCAUGAGCUAUAUGACUUAUUGAUGAAAAUAAUUUAAGUAAAUAGAAAUAAAAUAUAAAGGAAUGUCUGGUAACCUUGUAAAGUGUUCAUAACUACAGCAGCGUAGCCUUCCCAAUAUCACAUGCAGGUAUGUUGUCUUGUCUCUUUCAUUCAGAAGUUGUCUUGCUCCAAUUUGUAGGAGGGAGAGGAGGUUCUUUGGUAUUUGUAUACCUAACAUGAGAUUAAGAAACAACAGUUUGAACGUUGUCCCAACCAGUAUAUUACAAAUCCUAGUCUCUAAGGGAGAUGGGGAAAGGAAGGUGGCAACAAUUAUUAAUUAGGGUGAUGGGGGAUGGAAAGUGGGCUAUCGGAAAGAAGCAAGAAUUACGUAAAGCAGGAAUAGUCACCAUCAAGAUCCAGCAGUGUCCCGAUGCACACCGUCCCAAUGGUCUAAAGCCAAUACAGGAACAAGAGCGCAGGGAAGAACAGUGGCAAAGUGGCUGGCCUUAGGCAGCAAGCAGGUACAGUGACAGCACGUCCAGGAGGAAGAGGCAGGUCUCAGGUAGCAGGCCCAGGUGAGUCUAUCAGCAGACAGGUAUUAUAUCAUAAGGCACCUGAUGUCACACACAACCCUUUUGGUUAUAGGCCCCUUUUUUAUCCCUCUUCUGUCAAUGUGGCAUUCAGGUGAGAGUCAUGUGCAGCACCCCUGAGAUGGCUGUCUCCCUCGAGAUGAGCCCAUACAAAAGACUGCUUCACAGCCAUUAAGCUGCUACUUAUCUCUCUCUUGUUGCCACUAGCCUGCUGUAUAGUCAACAAAUACAGAGUGGUAUGGUCAGAUUGGUAUCCACAGAUCAUAAAGCUAGAAAGAUUAUCGCGUUGGAGAGGGAUAAUCUGAAACAAAUGGAAAAUGCUCGCCUGUGUUGUAUGCUUGCGGGAAAAAAAGUCCAAGAGGAGCAAUCUCCAAAAACAGAUUCUAUUUCAGCGGCAGUCAGCCCUUAAAUGGGGUCUAGGAGAGGUGGAACCAGGCUCCACUCCUUCCAGUCACACAGGUGAAUUGCCUUCACCUGUGUUCCUGCAGCUUACUCAGUGCUUGCCUUAGCUGAUCUAUCAGAGGUUCAGGCUGUGAUUCAACAGUUACCAUACACCUGCAAAUCUUCAGACAAAAGAUUUCUCUGACUUUGACCAGGACUUGUCUGGACUUGUCCAUCUGUGCUCCUCAGCAACCUUUGAGACAAAGAUGCAAAAAGAAUAAUCUCUUACACAAGUUCACUUUCAAAUUUUUUGACAUAAUUAUAAAACUAUAAACAGAUUGCUGAUACUAGUCUUCUGUGAUGGGGAUUCUAGCUACAUCAAUUGCAAUGAGUUUUCUUUUAAAACAUUGACUGAAAACUCAGCUUGAUGCCAUUUGCAGUUUAAGCACAUAGACCUGGUGCGUUAAAAUAUGGGAAAAAGAUAUGUUUACAUUCAAAUUGUGCUGCUAAUUGUCAAAGAAAGGACAAGUGGAGGAUAUCUGUAAAUAGAUAAAUAUACAAACAGAAGCCUUCAUCUAAUUUGUGAACAAAAUAAUAAUAGAAUAAUAUAUUAACACAUUUUUAUCU
Molecule: long non-coding RNA, 2068 nt
Filed under: Gallus gallus (chicken)
Lineage: Eukaryota; Metazoa; Chordata; Aves; Galliformes; Phasianidae
Description: lncRNA (ENSGALG00010006166.1)
Source: RNAcentral